ACAUUUGCCUGCUUUGACCACAAAACUGAGGACAGUUUUGCUGCACCCGCUCCAUCCUUAGGGGUGAUCAGGAUUUCUGAGGAUGCCAUUCAAUUUGCUGGAGUCAAGGCAUAAAAGGUAAAAGGGGUCUCAGACUGAGAAGAUGAAGAUGCUGAGCUGGCUCCAUCCUCGGCUGUUCCCUGCGAGAGAAGGCCUCGUCCUGGGGGAAGUUUCAUGCCCAGCUGCUCAGCCAUCUCCACGUGGUCACCAGGAUGGACAUAGUCAAACACACUGCUGCCUGUCAGUUCCACCUAUGGGGUAAAAGCAGGGGACACGAGAACAGAAGACAUUAAUAAUGGUGAUUUGAAAAACAAAAUAUCUGUUAUCUCACACUGCAACUUGUACAUGAUCUUCUGAGGAAAGACAGCAAAUAAAUUCAUAAACAUCAUCAGGUGUCCUCAAUUGCAACAGCUGAAACUGAUUUUAUAAAAAAGUUGAAUCCUCCAUUUUAGUUUUACUCAAAUCUGGCAUCCAAAUCAAUGGGGAGAUACUAUGAUGCAAAAGAAAAAAGCCUACCUCAAAUUUCUAUGGCUUCAUGAGCCAACAGAUAAGCAAAACCACUAUGAAAAGGUGAAAUGUAUUAUACCUAAAAUUGGAUUAAAAGCAAAUCAAAAUCUAA
This is a non-coding RNA of Pantherophis guttatus, 658 nucleotides long. The record is from RefSeq and is a predicted model, not a curated record. Lineage: Eukaryota; Metazoa; Chordata; Lepidosauria; Squamata; Colubridae.